AUUGAACGCUGGCGGCAUGCUUUACACAUGCAAGUCGAGCGGCAGCGCGGGGGCAACCCUGGCGGCGAGCGGCGAACGGGUGAGGAAUACAUCGGAACGUGUCCCGUAGUGGGGGAUAGCUCGGCGAAAGCCGGAUUAAUACCGCAUAUGCUCUACGGAGGAAAGCCGGGGAUCUGUCACAGGACCUGGCGCUAUGGGAGCGGCCGAUGUCCGAUUAGCUAGUUGGGAGGUAAAGGCUCACCAAGGCGACGAUCGGUAGCUGGUCUGAGAGGAUGAUCAGCCACACUGGGACUGAGACACGGCCCAGACUCCUACGGGAGGCAGCAGUGGGGAAUUUUGGACAAUGGGGCAACCCUGAUCCAGCCAUGCCGCGUGCGGGAAGAAGGCCUCGG
This 392-nucleotide ribosomal RNA is filed under the name uncultured bacterium. Its description in RNAcentral is "bacterial SSU rRNA". It matches the Rfam family "Bacterial small subunit ribosomal RNA", at positions 28 to 420 of the family's 1533-position model. The record is from RNAcentral.